Molecule: transfer RNA, 135 nt
Filed under: Didymella pomorum
Lineage: Eukaryota; Fungi; Ascomycota; Dothideomycetes; Pleosporales; Didymellaceae
Description: tRNA-Glu
Source: RNAcentral
UCCGUUAUGGUCUAGGUAAGCACAUUCAUACUGCUCUCUUCGUCAACAAUCACUAACAUUGAGGAAAGUGGCUAGGAUACAUCGCUCUCAUUAGCAAGCGCCGAUGUGGCCGGGGUUCGAUUCCCCGUGACGGAA